Molecule: ribosomal RNA, 472 nt
Filed under: uncultured bacterium
Lineage: Bacteria
Description: partial 16S ribosomal RNA
Rfam family: Bacterial small subunit ribosomal RNA
Source: RNAcentral
GAUGAACGCUGGCGGCGUGCCUAAUACAUGCAAGUCGAGCGAACAGACGAGGAGCUUGCUCCUCUGACGUUAGCGGCGGACGGGUGAGUAACACGUGGAUAACCUACCUAUAAGACUGGGAUAACUUCGGGAAACCGGAGCUAAUACCGGAUAAUAUAUUGAACCGCAUUGUUCAAUAGUUAAAGACGGUUUUGCUGUCACUUAUAGAUGGGUCCGCGCCGCAUUAGCGAGUUGGUAAGGUAAUGGCUUACCAAGGCGGCGAUGCGUAGCCGGCCUGAGAGGAGGAGAAGGCACAAUGGAAGUGAGAGACGGCCCGGACUCCUAGGAGAGGGCGCAGUGGGGAAUGGUGUAAAAUGGAGGAAGGGAUGAACAAGUAAUGCAGUGAGAGUGAUGUAGGGCUAAGGGAUGAAAAACGCUUUUAAACGGGAUGAUAAUGACAGAACCGGAAGAAUAAGCUACGGCUAACUACGUG